This is a long non-coding RNA of Psammomys obesus (fat sand rat), 545 nucleotides long. RefSeq lists it as uncharacterized. Lineage: Eukaryota; Metazoa; Chordata; Mammalia; Rodentia; Muridae. The record is from RefSeq and is a predicted model, not a curated record. The transcript is spliced from 2 exons.
GGGCAAUCAUGUUUCCUUUCUUUGCCUCUUUUAUUUCUUAUUUUUCAUUCAAUAAACAGGUGUGAACCGGCCAGCCUGUAUUCACAUAAUGACCCGGCCACCCGGGUCUGACAACACGCCCUUUGAUCCCUGUAUUCGCCGUGGAAGCCCUCUGUUAAAGGGACCAUGGGGACGACUCAGUUGAGUGAAAAACACUUAGCACAAGGCCUGACGCGUGGUGGACACCCUAAAGACGUUACUGACACUGGAUACUUCCACGAACAGGGGUGUCAUUCCUGGAGUGGGUCUCAUUAUCUCCCACCAGCACCUAGAACCGGAUGCAGAAGAUCCUUCUCCUCUUCAGUCUUGGGUCCUCCCAUCAAGCUCUACCCAGUAGCCAGAGGGACUUCUCACAUGCAAAAGAAUAUCUUCCCCUCCUCUGCUUGGGGCAACCUGCAAAGAGACUUCUACAAGUCUUUGGUCACAGUUCCUUUUCUUGUCUUUUUCUCCUUUUCUCCUUGUCUUAAGGAGUACGUUAAGGCAUAAAAAGUGUGGGUAUCAUUGGA